This 107-nucleotide ribosomal RNA is filed under the name Pseudoduganella dura. The record is from RNAcentral. Lineage: Bacteria; Pseudomonadati; Pseudomonadota; Betaproteobacteria; Burkholderiales; Oxalobacteraceae. RNAcentral also lists the same sequence under 8 other names.
GAUGACCAUAGCAAGUCGGUCCCACCCCUUCCCAUCCCGAACAGGACCGUGAAACGACUUUGCGCCGAUGAUAGUGCUGCAACCAGUGUGAAAGUAGGUUAUCGUCA